GACGAACGCUGGCGGCGUGCCUAAUACAUGCAAGUAGAACGCUGAAGGAGGAGCUUGCUUCUCUGGAUGAGUUGCGAACGGGUGAGUAACGCGUAGGUAACCUGCCUGGUAGCGGGGGAUAACUAUUGGAAACGAUAGCUAAUACCGCAUAAGAGUAGAUGUUGCAUGACAUUUGCUUAAAAGGUGCAAUUGCAUCACUACCAGAUGGACCUGCGUUGUAUUAGCUAGUUGGUGGGGUAACGGCUUACCAAGGCGACGAUACAUAGCCGACCUGAGAGGGUGAUCGGCCACACUGGGACUGAGACACGGCCCAGACUCCUACGGGAGGCAGCAGUAGGGAAUCUUCGGCAAUGGACGGAAGUCUGACCAAGCAACGCCGCGUGAGUGAAGAAGGUUUUCGGAUCGUAAAGCUCUGUUGUAAGAGAAGAACGAGUGUGAGAGUGGAAAGUUCACACUGUGACGGUAUCUUACCAGAAAGGGACGGCUAACUACGUG
Molecule: ribosomal RNA, 495 nt
Filed under: uncultured bacterium
Lineage: Bacteria
Description: partial 16S ribosomal RNA
Rfam family: Bacterial small subunit ribosomal RNA
Source: RNAcentral